RNAcentral lists this ribosomal RNA (493 nucleotides) under uncultured bacterium. RNAcentral describes it as "partial 16S ribosomal RNA". It matches the Rfam family "Bacterial small subunit ribosomal RNA", at positions 28 to 507 of the family's 1533-position model. The record is from RNAcentral.
GACGAACGCUGGCGGCGUGCUUAACACAUGCAAGUCGAACGGUGAAGGGACCGGUUUUUGCUGGUUCUGGCUGAGUGGCGAACGGGUGAGUAACACGUGAGUAACCUGCCCCCUUCUUCUGGAUAACCGCAUGAAAGUGUGGCUAAUACGGGAUAUUCUGCGCCUGCUGCAUGGUGGGUGUGGGAAAGAUAUUGUUUCGGUGGGGGAUGGGCUCGCGGCCUAUCAGCUUGUUGGUGGGGUGAUGGCCUACCAAGGCGGUGACGGGUAGCCGGCCUGAGAGGGUGGACGGUCACACUGGGACUGAGACACGGCCAAGACUCGUACGGGAGGCAGCAGUGGGGAAUAUUGCACAAUGGGCGCAAGCCUGAUGCAGCGACGCCGCGUGAGGGAUGGAGGCCUUCGGGUUGUAAACCUCUUUCGCCAGUGAAGCAGGCCUGUCCCUUUUGUGGGUGGGUUGACGGUAGCUGGAUAAGAAGCGCCGGCUAACUACGUG